RNAcentral lists this unclassified non-coding RNA (338 nucleotides) under soil metagenome. Its description in RNAcentral is "partial contains 5.8S ribosomal RNA, internal transcribed spacer 2, and large subunit ribosomal RNA". The stretch from base 1 to 120 matches the Rfam family "5.8S ribosomal RNA", at positions 35 to 154 of the family's 154-position model. The record is from RNAcentral.
GAUGAAGAACGUAGCGAAAUGCGAUACGUAGUGUGAAUUGCAGAAUUCAGUGAAUCAUCGAAUCUUUGAACGCACAUUGCACCUCUCGGUAUUCCGGGAGGUAUGCCUGUUCGAGCGUCAUUUGUACCCUCAAGCUCUGCUUGGUGUUGGGUGUUUGUUCCGCCUCUGUGUGUGAACUCGCCUCAAAACAAUUGGCAGCCGGCGUACUUGUUUCGGAGCGCAGCACAUUUUGCGAUCCAGAUCAACGUACAGCGGCAUCCAAGAAGCCUUAUUUAACGCUCUUGACCUCGGAUCAGGUAGGGAUACCCGCUGAACUUAAGCUUAUCAAUAAGCGGGGA